Molecule: ribosomal RNA, 443 nt
Filed under: uncultured bacterium
Lineage: Bacteria
Description: partial 16S ribosomal RNA
Rfam family: Bacterial small subunit ribosomal RNA
Source: RNAcentral
CCUACGGGAGGCAGCAGUGGGGAAUAUUGGGCAAUGGAGGAAACUCUGACCCAGCAACGCCGCGUGAAUGAUGAAGGUCUUCGGAGUGUAAAGUUCUUUUCUAAGGGAAGAAGAAAGUGACGGUACCUUCGGAAUAAGCCUCGGCUAACUACGGGCCAUCAGCCGCGGUCAUACGUAGGAGGCGGGCGUUAUCCGGAAUGACUGGGCGUAAAGGGUGCGUUGGGGGUUUGGCAAGUUAGUAGCGUAACUCCAAGGCCCAACCUUGGAACUACUACUAAAACUGUUGUACUUGAGUGCAGGAGAGGCAACCGGAAUUCCUAGUGUAGCGGUGGAAUGCGUAGAUAUUAGGAGGAACACCAGUGGCGAAGGCGGGUUGCUAGACUCUAACUGACACUGAGGCACGAAAGCGUGGGGAGCAAACAGGAUUAGAUACCCUAGUAGUC